This 253-nucleotide ribosomal RNA is filed under the name uncultured bacterium. Its description in RNAcentral is "partial 16S ribosomal RNA". It matches the Rfam family "Bacterial small subunit ribosomal RNA", at positions 524 to 776 of the family's 1533-position model. The record is from RNAcentral.
UACGAGGGGGGCGAGCGUUGUUCGGAAUUAUUGGGCGUAAAGGGUGCGUAGGCGGUUUGGUAAGUCUUAUGUGAAAUCUACAGGCUCAACUUGUAGUCUGCAUGAGAAACUGCCGGGCUUGAGUGUGGGAGAGGUGAGUGGAAUUCCUGGUGUAGCGGUGAAAUGCGUAGAUAUCAGGAAGAACACCAAUGGCGAAGGCAGCUCUCUGGGACGGUACUGACGCUGAGACGCGAAAGCGUGGGGAGCGAACAGG